Molecule: non-coding RNA, 5536 nt
Organism: Podarcis lilfordi (Lilford's wall lizard)
Lineage: Eukaryota; Metazoa; Chordata; Lepidosauria; Squamata; Lacertidae
Source: the annotation of a GenBank genome assembly
GGGUCACAUAGCUCUGUCCCGGUUGCUGCUGUUACUACCGUGAAAUUUCCUGAAUUUGAACUAUUUCAUUUGUCCCUGUCAUUCAUUUCCUAACUCAGUCGGUAUCGGUUUUUCAAGAGAGCGUCUUCAUAUCUCUGGAAAGUAGGAUGGAGGAAGGUUUUUCCUGCCGUCCUCAAAUACCCUGCUGGGUUUGGCUUUCCUUUUGCUUGCUCCCCAAGGCUCCUUUUGGAUAACAAGUUACUGAUCUGGCUGCAAGUGUAUCUCUCAGUGCUGGAAGUAACGCAGUUCAACCGGGGCUGCAGGAUCUUCGCUGCUUUUUCUCCUACAGGUAAGACGAAUGAUUGUCGUUAUGGAAGUGAAACUUUCUGGAACCACCAGAAGAUAACUGAUACGUGCUUGAUGGAGUUUCCUUCUAUCUUUUGAUUCCUCAGGGGGGAGAAAUAAGACAAAAUCACUAUCCUUCGUGGAUGUGACGGAAGUACCCAAUGCGGGACUUGAUGGUACAGUACUUUGAAAAAUAAAAAAUAGGAACCACAAAUUUUGAGAUGCUAGAAGGAAGUUUUUAUUCAUGUCUAAGCAUGGGUGUAGCCAGGGGGGUGUAGGGAGCAGCUGCCCCCCCAUCAAGUAAUUUUUUAAAAAAACAAACCUAAAUGAUUAAUUGUAUUGCAGAUAACUUUGUUCUGGCACCUCCAAACAUAAAGCCUGCCUCCUUGUCUAAGGAUGGCUAACACAAUUUAAUCUGGAGUGAGCCCCAUUGUAGUACAGAUGGCUCCCCAUUUACACGGGGGUACCAUUACAAGCCCCUGCGCAUGCGCAAAAUCACGUAUAAUGGGGAGCACCCUGAAAUGACCCACUCCAGAGCCCAAAGAGCCCCCCAAAAGCCUCCCUGACCCCGUCCGUCAGUUCUGCCAGUCCACCGAGCUGCCCUGCCUCUCCGGCUGGUGGGUGCAAACAGGAGUGACAGGGCAGCUUGCAGGUGGCAGAGGGACUCAGGAGCAGCAGCAGUUUCACCUGCGAUACACCUCCAAGUGAAACCGCCACCUGGGAGCAACAUGGACGGAGGAGGAGGAAGCGGCAGCAUCAAAUGACUCCGCUUGGUACUGCGAUGCAAGCCCCCAGACUUUGCAGAGGAGCCCUGAGCUUGCGUGAUGAUGACGCACAUGGCGAAAAGGAAGAGUACUAGAUUCUGAUGGGUGCUAGAUCCCGAUGGAUCCCCUUGCCCACGCGUAUUUGGCCAAGCGGAGAACCAAUAAGAAUAAUAAUUGGAGAAAAGUUCGGGCCAAAGAAAGCUCUGCUCUGGCACAGUAUAGGGCCAUUGUUUUGUUCAGAGGGACAAACGGAGGGAGAGAACAUUAGAUCCAGAAUCAUUGAGUCCUUUGAGUGUUAGCAGAUGUUGCAGAAUAAACUGGGUCAGGUCAAGGGUUGUAACAUUGGGUGAGAACCAAAAGAGGACAAAGAAGAGAUACAAUGUUUUAUCUCACUGUAUGACCUCUCUCGCUCAUGUGGCACUCAGCAAUCUGAGCUGAGGCUCCUUGGACUGAAUUCUACGUAAGUCCUAGAAAAGGCAUGUUCUGGGGUUGUUCUCAGGAUGGGGCCAGAGAGCAGGGAUUUAAACUGGAUCCUAAGCCCAUCCAGCUCAGUCAUGUAACUGGGCAACUCAGCAUAGAAUAUGUUAUUAAAGGCUUGUUUUCCUUCUGCCAGGCUUGGGAAGAGCAGAAGCAGCACAGCUGAUAAGCAGGGUUUGAAUCUGACAUAACUUUAUGCCAGCUGAAUUUGAACCUGCUUGAUUUACGACCGCUUCUAGUCCAAAGAGUUGCUCCCUAAGAAAGUAACGUCACUGAAGUGAGAUCUCAGUGCUCCACAGUGAUCUCUCCCGUUUCAAUUGACAAUGAGAACAAAAAAGAGAGAUUUAUAACCAACUGCAGGAAGCAGUGCGAUAUUUUUCAGCUUUAUAACAUAAACAAACUUCACUUUUUUCUCUAUUUUUCCCAGUUGGUGACUCUGCAAGAAGUAGCUGAAAGAGAAGAGAUUGAACAUCAUGGCCAAUAAUGGCCUGCAUUCUCCAAUCCCUUUGGGUGCUGAAGAGGAAUAUAAUAGAGUACACAAUGCAACCGAGCUCCCAGACUACACUGAUUUUGUUGACGAAAUACCAUCAUAUGAUGUAACGAUUAUUAUUAUCCUUGUCUGCAUUUUCCUCAUUAGUGUCCUUGGACUUUUAGGGAAUGGAACUGUCAUCUGGAUUCUCGGAUUUUGCAUGAAAAGGACUGCUUUCGCAACCUAUAUCCUGAAUUUGGCUGUUGCUGACCUUGGGGUCCUCCUAGGCUCAGUUCCUUGGAGGAUAAUUGUCUUCCUCGAUAAUUCUCAUUCGCAUCUUGUCAAUUUCGAUGUUAACUAUUUAGUGAUCAUAAGUGCCUAUUGCUUUUUCUCCACGAACCUCAUCGGUCAAUUUCUGCUGACAGCCAUCAGCAUCGACAGCUGUGUUUCUGUCGUCUUCCCCAUUUGGCAUCGAUGUCGCCGGCCACCCAACCUGUCCAUCAUUGUGUGUGCCAUCAUAUGGAGCCUUGCUUUCCUGCUCACUCUCGUACACAUCCUUAAUGUCAUUGUAGUCUUUGGAGUAGCUUUUGCUUGGUACCAGUUGCUGGUGAGUGCUGUGUUUUGCCUCCCGCUCAUGAGUGUCUCCACUCUGAUCCUCUUCAUCAAACUUUGCUUGAGAUCACAGCAGAGGCAGCAAGGAAAUGUUUUAAUAGCCAUCCUGAUGGUGCUCCUCUUUUCCCUCUUGUUUGCUUUUCCAUUUACUUUCCUUUAUUUAAUAUUUUCUUUCCCCCAUCUUACAUUUCGUAAUGCCCUACACGUUGGGGCCUUAUGCUGCUGCCUAAACAGCAGCAUUAAGCCACUGAUUUAUUUCCUGGUUGGGAGGAGAAAGGGGGGUCAAUCUAGGGAGAGCAUGAAAGUCAUACUCCAGAGGCUUUUCAAGGAGGAGGAAGGCUGCAGAGAGGAGGCCAGUAAUGUCCCAAUCCAGACCCAGGUGUGAUACGUUCAAAAUAAUCAGAGAGCUCCACAAUUACACCUCUUGCUAUGACAAUCUAUGUUCCCUUUAGCCCUCUUUUUUUUUUUUUCUUCUUUUUUUUUUUUGUAAACCUGCUGCUUUUCACUAUUGUUUCUAUAUGCCUGGGGAGGAACAGAGAUGAACCCUCAUCUCAUUUCUUCAACUGCUGAUAUGUAAUGCUUUUAGUACUUGGUGUUUGCUUCACUUUCUGAUUGCUCUUUGCUUCAUUUAAAGUGAUUUCCUGUGGCUAUUUUUUGGUGUCAUUUCAGGGGUAUAGUAAAAGUCUCCUGGACUGAAGGACAUUUAAAAAAAAAAUCAGCUUGAAAUAUUUCCUUAAGAGAUGUAAUGGGAGGGGGGAAUCAUGCCACUUCAAUCAUCUGUAAGGAGAUUCUAAAUUAUGUAGAAAAUAGGUUCUUUUCAUAGUGGAUGAAUACACACACACACACACACACACACUACACACACACACACACACACACACACACACACAGCUCCCAAACCUUUGAAAAUACAUCAGAUAACUCCUUUGAAAAUACUCCAACUAAUAAUAAAAAUAAUAAAAAUAAAACUACUAAAAAUAAAAUAACUAAAAAUACAGUGGUACCUCGGGUUACAGACGCUUCAGGUUACAGACGCUUCAGGUUACAGACUCAGCUAACCCAGAAAUAGUACCUCAGGUUAAGAACUUUACUUCAGGAUGAGAACAGAAAUCGGGCAGCGGCAGCGGGAGGCCCCAUUAAGUAAAGUGGUACCUCAAGUUAAGAACAGUUUCAUGUUAAGAACGGACCUCCAGAAUGAAUUAAGUUCUUAACCUGAGGUACCACUGUAACAAUAUUAAAAAUAAUAAUAAAGAGAUAAUAGAACAUGCCAAUAGCAGUAUGUGUUAGGAUUCACUCCCUGUGUUGCAGUCAUGGGGUUGUUUUUAUCACAUGACGGUGUAUGUUUUCAUUCCACAUUGUGGGAAGUGACAGAGACAGGAUGUCUUUAUUACUGUGUUUUCAUGAUGUAGGAUUUUUGUCCUCUGUUCUCUCUCUUUGCUGUCUAAUUCUGAGGAGGAAGGAGCUGAGUUACGAUGCCCCGAGUGUAUAUAUGUAAUUAAAAGUAGUUUAGCCAAAUUGCUGCGCUACUGAGUCUGAACACUGAUGGCCUUUAUGCUACUGAUCCUGAAGUGUGCUGACGCAUCUUGGUAUCAGUCGCAGUGAUGUUCGGACUGGAGAAUGCUUGUGAAUCUCCCGAACGAACGACCAGGAGGGAGAGAACAUGCCAGUCAGGCAUGUGUCUCUGCCAGAUUCCUACUCAUGUGUAGGACCUCCUGACAGUAUGGAUAUUAAAUGGUAUUUUCAACAACAACAACAAAUAUCAAUAGACCAUUGUGGAGGAAGUACUAUAAUUGCUCGUAUAGGCCUGGCACAAUAGAAAAGUUUUCAGCAAGAACUUAAAAGUUGACACAGAAAGUGGCUACCAAAUCUCUAUCAGCAGGGUGUUCCACAGGACCAGGCUUAUAUUCUAUUUCUUGUCAAAUGAACCUCAACAACAGAGAGAAUGACCAAAGAUGCUCAUGCAAAUGGUCUGAUUCCUCAAGCUGGAAUAUAAGUGUUCAGGUGAUCCCUGAGGUAUCCUAGAGCCAAGUUGUUUGGGGCUGUGUAAAUCAAUACAAGAAACUUGAACCUGGCUCAGGAGCAGACAGAGCAGCUGUUUUAAUAAUGGCAUCACAUGUUCUCAAUGAGAAGCUCCCAUCAGCAAUCUGGCAGCAGCAUACUGCAUCUGCUGGAACUUCCAAACCAGACCCAAGAGCAGCCCCACAUCAAGCACAUCACAGUAAUCUAGUCAUGAGGUUACCAAUACAUGCUCUUGCAGUAGUUAGGCUAUCUCUGUCCACGAAUUGCCAUAGCUGGAAAAGGCUCUCCUAGUCACAGAGGACACCUGAGCAUCUAGUGACAAAGAUGUAUCCAGAAGUACUGCCAAACUUCACACUUGCUCCUUCAAAGAGAGUGCAACCCCACUCAGAACAGGGAAAUUGCCAAUUUCCAAAACACAGGAACCACCUACCCAAAGAGCCCCCAUCUUCAUAGAAUUCAGCCCUCAUCCAGACCACUACUGCAUCCAGACACCGGUUCAAAGCUUUCACAGCCUCUCCCAAUUCCUAUGUUAUGGAAAGGGAAAGCUGCGUGUCAGCAUCAUUACACUGCUGAUACCUUGCUCCAAAACUCCUAAUGACCGCAUCCAAUGGCUUCAUAUAGAUAUUAAAUAGAUAUUAAUGUUAAUUGGAGUUCAAAUGAUAAUACCGUAAGGACAAUAUAUCAUGUAAAGAAGCUUAACAUAUAUUCGAUCUGCUUCAGUAUUUUAACAUUUGCAUGUUUUAAAGUAUGAUUGUGAGUUUUCUUGGUUUUUCUGUUUAUUCAUUUGUAAGCUGCUUUGGGGUGUUUUUUUUUCUUUUUUUACAAUCAAGCAGUGUAUAAAUUUUAUGAAAUAAAUGAAAAGAGUAAAUGU